CUGUGUGAGGGAUCAAGCCAAAUGAGUGGAGGAACACAGGAAAUCUCCAAAAAUAGACUCUUUAAUUUCCUUUUUCUUUUAAAAUAUCCUCACAAAAAUAGCUCGAGCUCAUAAAAGAGGUCAAACAAACAAACUGAAACUCAAUAAACUUCUAACUUAGCAUGCUGACUGACUGAAACCAUAACCGACCUAGCAAACACAGACACACACGGGUAUAUAUACUCACUGGCUGAUCAGACCAUAUCAACAAUAGGGAUUACUAGACAAACAUUUACUAACUAAAACUAAAACCACAAACCAGUACAGUCAGAUUGUUAAUAAACCUAAACAUCCUAACCCAUAAACCUAACUAUUUAACUUCAAACUUAAAUUAAUUAACAAAUGACAAAAUAAUAAACUAAAGGAAAUCCUUCAGUCCCCUCUUCAUGGAGCUAUUGGUUUGGCCCCAUCAGCUCCUCCUGUAUUUAGCUGACAGAACCCCUUCAACCCUGUUUGCCUGUCCCAUCUCAGGAAGCAGGAAGUGGAGAACCUCUCAGCACCGGUAAGAGAAAACAAAUCAACUUCAAUUGAACAAAUGACACGCCUAAAAUACAGCAGUUAACUAAAUGUGCGCGCUUACAAUCAGAACUAAUGCAUUUAAGCCGUCUAAACAAUAAAUCCAAAGAAAUAUAAACGUACAAACUGCAAUCAUAAAAGUGCAUGAGUGUACUAACGUUCACCGUUGUGUGUUCAUGGAUGUGGCCAUCACAAUCUGUUAUGUUUAGAGCUGUAACAAUCUGGAAUGGACCACCAGCUGUGGAGACUGAAGAUGCUGAACUGGACAUGACGAAAGUUUGGAUUAGCUGUUUCCUCCAAACAGAAGCCAUCUACGACAGAUAAACAUCGAUAAUCCUCUCAAGAUGCACAAUGAAUCUGGAGCCAGCAGCUGUGGACCUCAUGGACAUAUCUGUCUGAAGG
Molecule: long non-coding RNA, 957 nt
Organism: Nothobranchius furzeri (turquoise killifish)
Lineage: Eukaryota; Metazoa; Chordata; Actinopteri; Cyprinodontiformes; Nothobranchiidae
Source: RefSeq, a predicted model, not a curated record